UACGUAGGGGGCAAGCGUUGUCCGGAAUCAUUGGGCGUAAAGCGCGUGUAGGCGGCUCGAUAAGUCUGCUGUGAAAGUCCAGGGCUCAACCCUGGGAUGCCGGUGGAUACUGUCGAGCUCGAGUCCGGAAGAGGUGUGUGGAAUUCCUGGUGUAGCGGUGAAAUGCGCAGAUAUCAGGAAGAACACCAAUGGCGAAGGCAGCUCUCUGGGACGGUACUGACGCUGAGACGCGAAAGCGUGGGGAGCGAACAGG
Molecule: ribosomal RNA, 253 nt
Filed under: uncultured bacterium
Lineage: Bacteria
Description: partial 16S ribosomal RNA
Rfam family: Bacterial small subunit ribosomal RNA
Source: RNAcentral